GUCCACGCCGUAAACGAUGGGUGCUAGGUGUGGGGGUGUCGACUCCCUCCGUGCCGCAGCUAACGCAUUAAGCACCCCGCCUGGGGAGUACGGCCGCAAGGCUAAAACUCAAAGGAAUUGACGGGGACCCGCACAAGCAGCGGAGCAUGUGGUUUAAUUCGAUGCAACGCGAAGAACCUUACCAGGGCUUGACAUGCACUGGAAAACCGUAGAAAUACGGUCCUCCUUCGGGAUCAGUGCACAGGUGGUGCAUGGCUGUCGU
Molecule: ribosomal RNA, 262 nt
Filed under: uncultured bacterium
Lineage: Bacteria
Description: partial 16S ribosomal RNA
Rfam family: Bacterial small subunit ribosomal RNA
Source: RNAcentral